This 540-nucleotide long non-coding RNA is filed under the name Capsicum annuum. RNAcentral's name for it is "long non-coding RNA (CANN_LNC006254)". Lineage: Eukaryota; Viridiplantae; Streptophyta; Magnoliopsida; Solanales; Solanaceae. The record is from RNAcentral.
CACUGACAUUAUACCUCUGAUUUUUGGAUUAUGAGUCCAAAUAUUCACUUUUCAAGUGAAACAAACUACUUGAAUUACAUACUUUUAUUUGACCAAUAAUUUAUCUAUCCAUACUCUUUGACAAAUUUGUAUCCAAGAUCCUUGAUACUAUUUAUAAUGCUGAGCGCUAUAGUAUAUCAAAGAUAUCAUCGACGAUUGUUUGAUAUCGAUUCCAAUAAGACAUAACUUAAUGAAGAUCUCUUCAUAUUCAUUACUUAUUCAGGUACCUGAACCUUUGCCAAGAUUUUAUGAAGUGUUAUGUCGGUGCUAAAGUACUUGCCUCAUUAUCAUGACUUUCUUGAUCAUUUGCUCCUUUCCUUCUUUGAGGAGUUUUAUCUUUGGAACCAAUUGGUCUAUCACGCUUUAGGCAUGCCAUAGAAUCUGUCCUUUUAUGGACUUUUCAUUGAAGCAUUUUACUGUUGAAUUAUCACAUAGAGUUAGCAAACAUAUCUGACAAAUAGUUUGCAACAUUUUGCAAAUGAAUUAUCUCUUGAACUUCAA